This 253-nucleotide ribosomal RNA is filed under the name uncultured bacterium. RNAcentral's name for it is "partial 16S ribosomal RNA". It matches the Rfam family "Bacterial small subunit ribosomal RNA", at positions 524 to 776 of the family's 1533-position model. The record is from RNAcentral.
UACGGAGGGCGCAAGCGUUGCUCGGAAUUACUGGGCGUAAAGCGCGUGCAGGCGGUCGAGUAAGUCGGUUGUGAAAUCCCCAGGCUCAACCUGGGAACUGCAUCCGAAACUGCUCGGCUAGAGUCUCGGAGAGGGAGGCGGAACUCCCAGUGUAGGGGUGAAAUCCGUAGAUAUUGGGAAGAACACCGGCGGCGAAAGCGGCCUCCUGGACGAUGACUGACGCUGAGACGCGAAAGCGUGGGGAGCAAACAGG